This 472-nucleotide ribosomal RNA is filed under the name uncultured bacterium. Its description in RNAcentral is "bacterial SSU rRNA". It matches the Rfam family "Bacterial small subunit ribosomal RNA", at positions 355 to 825 of the family's 1533-position model. The record is from RNAcentral.
UGGGGAAUAUUGGACAAUGGGCGAAAGCCUGAUCCAGCCAUGCCGCGUGUGUGAAGAAGGUCUUCGGAUUGUAAAGCACUUUAAGUUGGGAGGAAGGGUUGUAGAUUAAUACUCUGCAAUUUUGACGUUACCGACAGAAUAAGCACCGGCUAACUCUGUGCCAGCAGCCGCGGUAAUACAGAGGGUGCAAGCGUUAAUCGGAAUUACUGGGCGUAAAGCGCGCGUAGGUGGUUUGUUAAGUUGGAUGUGAAAUCCCCGGGCUCAACCUGGGAACUGCAUUCAAAACUGACUGACUAGAGUAUGGUAGAGGGUGGUGGAAUUUCCUGUGUAGCGGUGAAAUGCGUAGAUAUAGGAAGGAACACCAGUGGCGAAGGCGACCACCUGGACUGAUACUGACACUGAGGUGCGAAAGCGUGGGGAGCAAACAGGAUUAGAUACCCCAGUAGUCCCUGAGCGGGCUGGCAAGGCGCAU